AUCAUAACCCAGGAGGGGAGGCAACAGCACUUGGCAAACAAAUUUACACUAAGUGCACUUCCCUGGAAAUGUUUAUACUCUACCGCUGAGAAAUGUGGCGAUAGAGCAGCACGGCGCCGGUGGAGCAAAGGAUGCUGCAUUGAGCCAGCUCCCAGCCAAAGUGGGUUUGGGGGCACAGGGAAAGGUGGUGGUGGUGUCACCCUCCCCAACUAGCAGGGGAUGUUCGCCUCAGGACAGAGGGGUGAGGGAUAGCAGUGCACCCCUUAAGGGUUGGAAGUGUGUAGGGAUGGUUUGGGGAGAUCUGGGGUGAUAACCAUUGGGACCAUGCGUACUCAAAAGCCUCACCUCUGUCUAUGUCUCCUGUCGGCCAUCAGGGUUAUUUGACCUUCAUUGAGUGGUCUGUAGAUGGGGCUGGGAUCUCCAAGUAGUACCACAGUGCAAAUAGGUAUGGUGUGAUCCUGUGUGAUAGGGAAAGCUUUUUCACGGUGCUGGUUGCAUUCCAGCAAGGAGGAAAGGUCUAUGGACAGAAAUGCAAGGGCUUUGUAGAUGUCCCAGUGUUCCUGGAGCAGGAGACUUCAGAGGGUGCGUACCCUAAUCUAAUUGCUAAUUACUAGGCAAGUAACCCCCACAAAAAUAUACAUAUAGCUUUUAAAAAGAGCACAUAGUGGGCUUACAUAGCACGUGUGUGCACGCAUGUAUUUUUGUGCUGAGGGGGUAGAGAGUUCUUGGCUAAGUAGGUAGAGCCAAAUGGCAGGUGACUCAAAUGCUACCCCUAUUUCUGUCCCCAUUUCAGUGAUGCCACUUGGGGUGACUCACUUGCUGUCUCCACGUCUCCUCUUCAUCAGCUGAAGAUAACUCCUACUGGGAUACACCAAUCCUUGGUGUGCUUCAGCAUCUGGAAGAUCCUAAGAGGAAUGACACAGAGCGAUGGGAAGCACAGGCACAAUCCUGAACAUCUCCAUACCUGUGUGGGUUUUUUGCUGAGCCUUCCAAGUCCAGCAGGUAGAUCCUGGCGAACGAGAAGACUUUUUAUUUUUUUGGCCUGGAAGUGAAUUGUUUGGAAUUUUUUAAGAUUUUUUAAAAUUAUUUUUAGUUUUCAUUAAAAGCAACCAUUUCAAGUAUGUACGGAUCACACGGGUGUUUUAUAGUCAAAACAAUAACAGUAACUGCAAGAGGUGCCAGACUGGAACAACCUCUUCUGCACUAAUCAAAAGGAAAGAAGAAAAAAAGGUGCUUUUGAGAUAUAGAUUGAAUUCCAUUGUCUUUGCAUGUUAUAUAAGGAAAAAGAGAAAAAUCUAGCAAUGGAUAGCAGGCAUCCCCUACAAGAGACUUUCAGAGGAAUUGACUUAAAAAC
This 1354-nucleotide long non-coding RNA is filed under the name Phasianus colchicus (ring-necked pheasant). RNAcentral's name for it is "lncRNA (ENSPCLG00000021537.1)". The record is from RNAcentral. Lineage: Eukaryota; Metazoa; Chordata; Aves; Galliformes; Phasianidae.